Molecule: unclassified non-coding RNA, 319 nt
Filed under: Hevea brasiliensis (rubber tree)
Lineage: Eukaryota; Viridiplantae; Streptophyta; Magnoliopsida; Malpighiales; Euphorbiaceae
Source: RNAcentral
AAAAAAAAAAAAAAAAAAGUUAGUAUAAGAUGAUUGUCCCAACUUUUGAAAAAUCAAAUCCUACAUUGACCUUGGUUGAAAAAAUGGGUCCAUGAUUAAGUGUCUGUAGAACUUGGCUAUGUGAGUAUCUAGAGUUAUUGACUUCUUUGGGAGGAUUUCUUAGAUGGCUGUAAGAUAUGAACUAGUGGUUAUAAUUCUAAUUGCUUGCAUACCUUCUUAAAGAUUUAUUACUCCCUCUAUAAACUAGAAUAAGAGAAGGUUGUGUUACUUUGUAAUUCUUCGGUGAAAUUGUUGCAGUUUGAAUUUAUGACUGCCAAGA